RNAcentral lists this ribosomal RNA (487 nucleotides) under uncultured bacterium. Its description in RNAcentral is "bacterial SSU rRNA". It matches the Rfam family "Bacterial small subunit ribosomal RNA", at positions 28 to 507 of the family's 1533-position model. The record is from RNAcentral.
GAUGAACGCUAGCGGGAGGCUUAACACAUGCAAGUCGAGGGGCAGCACGAGGUAGCAAUACUUUGGUGGCGACCGGCAGACGGGUGAGUAGCGCGUAUGUAACCUACCCUGUACUGGGGGAUAACCCGGAGAAAUUCGGACUAAUACCCCAUAGAGAUAUAGAGAGGCAUCUUGAAAUAUUUAAAGUUCCGACGGUACGGGAUGGGCAUGCGUAACAUUAGCUAGUUGGUAAGGUAACGGCUUACCAAGGCUUUGAUGUUUAGGGGUCCUGAGAGGGUGAUCCCCCACACUGGUACUGAGACACGGACCAGACUCCUACGGGAGGCAGCAGUGAGGAAUAUUGGUCAAUGGGCGCAAGCCUGAACCAGCCAUCCCGCGUGCAGGAAGACGGCCCUAUGGGUUGUAAACUGCUUUUCCAGGAGGAGAAACUCUCGUACGUGAUACGGGAUUGACGGUACCCUGGGAAUAAGCAUCGGCUAACUCCGUG